UGGCCCCAAGUCAGGCGAGGCCACCCGCC
Molecule: ribosomal RNA, 29 nt
Filed under: Boesenbergia aurantiaca
Lineage: Eukaryota; Viridiplantae; Streptophyta; Magnoliopsida; Zingiberales; Zingiberaceae
Also listed under: 2 other names
Description: partial 26S ribosomal RNA
Source: RNAcentral